This 293-nucleotide ribosomal RNA is filed under the name uncultured bacterium. Its description in RNAcentral is "partial 16S ribosomal RNA". It matches the Rfam family "Bacterial small subunit ribosomal RNA", at positions 505 to 796 of the family's 1533-position model. The record is from RNAcentral.
GUUUCAGCCGCCGCGGUAAUACGAAGGGGGCUAGCGUUGUUCGGAAUUACUGGGCGUAAAGCGUAUGUAGGCGGAUCGUUAAGUCGGGGGUGAAAUCCCGAGGCUCAACCUCGGAACUGCCUUCGAUACUGGCGAUCUUCGAGUCCGGGAGAGGUGAGUGGAACUCCGAGUGUAGAGGUGAAAUUCGUAGAUAUUCGGAAGAACACCAGUGGCGAAGGCGGCUCACUGGCCCGGUACUGACGCUGAAAUACGAAAGCGUGGGGAGCAAACAGGAUUAGAUACCCCGGUAGUCC